GGCGGCGUGCCUAACACAUGCAAGUCGAACGCGAAAGUCCCGCAAGGGAUUAGUAGAGUGGCAAACGGGUGAGUAACACGUGGGUGACCCGCCUUCGAGCGGGGGAUAACGUCCCGAAAGGGACGCUAAUACCGCAUAACAUCCUGCCUUUUAAGAGGUGGAGAUCAAAGCCGGGGAUCGCAAGACCUGGCACUUGAAGAGGGGCCCGCGCCUGAUUAGCUAGUUGGUGGGGUAAUGGCCUACCAAGGCAACGAUCAGUAUCCGGCCUGAGAGGGCGGACGGACACACUGGGACUGAGACACGGCCCAGACUCCUACGGGAGGCAGCAGUGGGGAAUUGCUCGCAAUGGGCGCAAGCCUGACGACGCAACGCCGCGUGGAGGAUGAAGACCUUCGGGUCGUAAACUCCUUUCGAUCGAGACGAAUGUUUUUCGGGUGAAUACUCCGGAAAAGUGACGGUACCGAGAGAAGAAGCCCCGGCUAACUCUGUGCCAGCAGCCGCGGUAAUACAGGGGGGGCAAGCGUUGUUCGGAAUUACUGGGCGU
This 544-nucleotide ribosomal RNA is filed under the name uncultured Acidobacteriota bacterium. Its description in RNAcentral is "bacterial SSU rRNA". It matches the Rfam family "Bacterial small subunit ribosomal RNA", at positions 38 to 561 of the family's 1533-position model. The record is from RNAcentral. Lineage: Bacteria; Pseudomonadati; Acidobacteriota.